RNAcentral lists this ribosomal RNA (507 nucleotides) under uncultured bacterium. RNAcentral's name for it is "bacterial SSU rRNA". It matches the Rfam family "Bacterial small subunit ribosomal RNA", at positions 15 to 518 of the family's 1533-position model. The record is from RNAcentral.
GAUUAUGGCUCAGGAUGAACGCUAGCUACAGGCUUAACACAUGCAAGUCGAGGGGUAGCAGGGUAGCAAUACCGCUGACGACCGGCGCACGGGUGAGUAACACGUAUCCAACCUUCCCAUAACUCAGGGAUAGCCUUUCGAAAGAAAGAUUAAUACCUGAUAGUACUUUUUCAAGGCAUCUUGAGAAAGUUAAAGAUUUAUUGGUUAUGGAUGGGGAUGCGUUCCAUUAGAUAGUUGAUGAGGUAACGGCUCACCAAGUCUUCGAUGGAUAGGGGUUCUGAGAGGAAGGUCCCCCACAUUGGUACUGAGACACGGACCAAACUCCUACGGGAGGCAGCAGUGAGGAAUAUUGGUCAAUGGGCGAGAGCCUGAACCAGCCAAGUAGCGUGAAGGAAUGAAGGUCCUAUGGAUUGUAAACUUCUUUUAUAGUAGAAUAAAGUGAUCCACGUGUGGAUUUUUGUAUGUAUACUAUGAAUAAGGAUCGGCUAACUCCGUGCCAGCCGCCGC